UGACGGUACUUGACUAAGAAGCCCCGGCUAACUACGUGCCAGCAGCCGCGGUAAUACGUAGGGGGCAAGCGUUAUCCGGAUUUACUGGGUGUAAAGGGAGCGUAGACGGUUCUGCAAGUCUGAUGUGAAAGGCAGGGGCUCAACUCCUGGACUGCAUUGGAAACUGUGGAACUAGAGUGCCGGAGGGGUAAGCGGAAUUCCUAGUGUAGCGGUGAAAUGCGUAGAUAUUAGGAGGAACACCAGUGGCGAAGGCGGCUUACUGGACGGUAACUGACGUUGAGGCUCGAAAGCGUGGGGAGCAAACAGGAUUAGAUACCCUG
Molecule: ribosomal RNA, 320 nt
Filed under: uncultured bacterium
Lineage: Bacteria
Description: bacterial SSU rRNA
Rfam family: Bacterial small subunit ribosomal RNA
Source: RNAcentral